RNAcentral lists this long non-coding RNA (691 nucleotides) under Vigna radiata. RNAcentral describes it as "long non-coding RNA (VRAD_LNC002960)". Lineage: Eukaryota; Viridiplantae; Streptophyta; Magnoliopsida; Fabales; Fabaceae. The record is from RNAcentral.
AAGAAAAAAAAGAAAAAAAAGAGAAAAAAGAAAAAAAAUAGAAAAUAAAAAUACAAAAAAUGAAAAAAAAGAAAGAGAAAAAAAAAUAAAUAAAAAGAAAAGAAAAAAAAUGAGAAAAGGAAAAAUAAGAAAUAAAAUAAAAAAAAAGGGAUAAAAAGUUGAAAAACGUGGGGAUGAAAACAGUUACAACAGAAUUAAGCAAAGAAGAGAGCAGAGCAUUAUCAUCUUGGCGAGGGGAUACCAUUCAUCAUCAUCAGUAACCUUGAUUGAGUUCAUUAUCAUGGUUCAGCCCUCACACUACCCUGAAUUCACCUAUUCCCUCACACAUCACUCUCAAUCAGCAAGAACAGAAACCAAUCUCCAUUACUCCAACCCGUCAUUUUUCCCCAACGGAACAAAGAUCACCUUCACCAUCCACAUUCAUCCAUGGCCAUAACCAUCUAACCACUCACAGAUCCUAUCAACAACUUUCCACCAUAUUCACCUCAAUACAAUUUCCAUUCAUAUGGUUCUCCUAUUUCCCCUGCAUUAAAACAAAAACAGAGAAGAACUCAUUUUCACCUUUGGGAGACCAUUUUACUCAUUCAUUCAUCAUCAACAAUAGCCUUCGUUGCAACAAUUCGGGAAGGAACCCUCCAACCAAAUUCAUCCGUAAGCCAUCAUCAUCAUCAUCCAUCACCCAGACACUCAG